This 497-nucleotide ribosomal RNA is filed under the name uncultured bacterium. Its description in RNAcentral is "partial 16S ribosomal RNA". It matches the Rfam family "Bacterial small subunit ribosomal RNA", at positions 28 to 507 of the family's 1533-position model. The record is from RNAcentral.
GACGAACGCUGGCGGCGUGCCUAAUACAUGCAAGUCGAGCGAUGAAGAUUGGUGCUUGCACCUAUUUGAAUAGCAGCGAACGGGUGAGUAACGCGUGGGGAAUCUGCCUUUGAGCGGGGGACAACAUUUGGAAACGAAUGCUAAUACCGCAUAACAACUUUAAACAUAAGUUUUAAGUUUGAAAGAUGCAAUUGCAUCACUCAAAGAUGAUCUCGCGUUGUAUUAGCUAGUUGGUGAGGUAAAGGCUCACCAAGGCGAUGAUACAUAACCGAACUGAGAGGGUGGAUGGCCAACAUGGGAACUGGAAAAGGCCCAAGCCCCCACCGGAGGCCGCAGGAGGGAAUCUUCCGGAAUGGGGGGAAGUCUGAACGAGCAAAGCCGCGGGAGGGAAGAAGGGUUUCGGAUCGUAAAAAUCUGUUGGUAGGGAAGAACGUUGGUGGGAGUGGAAAGCGCAUCAAGUGACGGUAACUAAUCAGAAAGGGACGGCUAACUACGUG